GGGGGCGACCUGGUUUCGACGUGGGUUGCAAUUCCUGAGGUGCAUGUCGAGCUUUUAGUAACUCGUUAAAUUGCUAAAAAACUAUAAACGCUGAAAAUAAACCUUUAGCCCUAGCAGC
This 118-nucleotide transfer-messenger RNA is filed under the name Gammaproteobacteria bacterium. RNAcentral's name for it is "partial transfer-messenger RNA". It matches the Rfam family "transfer-messenger RNA", at positions 1 to 124 of the family's 374-position model. From Rfam's summary of the family: Bacterial tmRNA, also known as 10Sa RNA or SsrA, is named for its dual tRNA and mRNA-like properties. Its role is to liberate the mRNA from a stalled ribosome. To accomplish this part of the tmRNA is used as a reading frame that ends in a translation stop signal. The record is from RNAcentral. Lineage: Bacteria; Pseudomonadati; Pseudomonadota; Gammaproteobacteria.